Molecule: ribosomal RNA, 253 nt
Filed under: uncultured bacterium
Lineage: Bacteria
Description: partial 16S ribosomal RNA
Rfam family: Bacterial small subunit ribosomal RNA
Source: RNAcentral
UACGGAGGGGACUGGCGUUGUUCGGAAUUACUGGGCGUAAAGCGCACGUAGGCGGAUUUGUAAGUCAGGGGUGAAAUCCCGGGGCUCAACCUCGGAACUGCCUUUGAUACUGCAAAUCUCGAGUCCGGAAGAGGUGAGUGGAAUUCCUAGUGUAGAGGUGAAAUUCGUAGAUAUUAGGAAGAACACCAGUGGCGAAGGCGGCUCACUGGUCCGGUACUGACGCUGAGGUGCGAAAGCGUGGGGAGCAAACAGG